Long non-coding RNA from Notolabrus celidotus (New Zealand spotty), 760 nucleotides. RefSeq lists it as uncharacterized. Lineage: Eukaryota; Metazoa; Chordata; Actinopteri; Labriformes; Labridae. The transcript is spliced from 4 exons. The record is from RefSeq and is a predicted model, not a curated record.
CGAUAUUUCACAUAUUCACGCCGUUGGCCGUUACCUGUAGGCUAACGAGCAAAGUAACAGUUUAAAAUAGUAAGUUAAUGCUGCCAAUUUCCACGUAAAGAAGGAUUAACUAAUUAACUACAACCAAAUUUCCUCUCAGAUAUCCAGAAAGUCCACACUACAGUUUGACAGCGUUAUCCACCAGUUUGUGUUUCCAAACAAAGCCCGGUUCAUGAGAGUGGAAGAAGUCACGGCUUGGAGUUGAGCAGAGGAAACCACACACAUAGACCACACUGGGUUGCAGGUCCUGAUGGUCACAACAUGCCACUCACUGGGGGCUUCCACUUGAGGAGUAAGCUGACAGGAUUCAGGAGGUGGGAUACAAUUUAAGGUUGUUGUCAAAGGAGAAGAAGAGAGAGCGGUUGUUGAAGAAGAAGAAGAAGAAGAAGAAGAAGAAGAAGAAGAAGAAGAAGAGAGAGUGGUUGUUCCUGAAGAAGAAGAAGAGAGCGGUUCUUGAAUCGCACCGCUAUGUCGCUAUGGCUUGGACAGGUCAGAAAGGUGAUGUUGUCACCUGUUGGAUGGUUGUGGGUCAUUCUGCCGAUCUCAAUGCUGACCUCCACCAGGUUGUCCAGUCUCUCGGGCUGCCAGUAUCUCAUACCCACACACAUGGCCUUGGCUGCUGCCCCGAAGCCUGACCCUGCACGGAAACAUAUGUCCACACGUCAGAACACACAUUUUUAUAAAACAUGUUGUUUAUUUUUAAUAAAUAACUUUAUCUUAA